Molecule: ribosomal RNA, 400 nt
Filed under: uncultured bacterium
Lineage: Bacteria
Description: bacterial SSU rRNA
Rfam family: Bacterial small subunit ribosomal RNA
Source: RNAcentral
GAAUAUUGGACAAUGGGCGCAAGCCUGAUCCAGCCAUGCCGCGUGAGUGACGAAGGCCUUAGGGUUGUAAAGCUCUUUUGGCGGGGAAGAUAAUGACGGUACCCGCAGAAUAAGCUCCGGCUAACUUCGUUCCAGCAGCCGCGGUAAUACGAAGGGAGCUAGUGUUGUUCGGAAUCACUGGGCGUAAAGCGCACGUAGGCGGACUUGUCAGUCAGGGGUGAAAUCCCGGGGCUCAACCUCGGAACUGCCUCUGAUACAGCAAGUCUUGAGUCCGGAAGAGGUGGGUGGAAUUCCUAGUGUAGAGGUGAAAUUCGUAGAUAUUAGGAAGAACACCGGUGGCGAAGGCGGCCCACUGGUCCGGUACUGACGCUGAGGUGCGAAAGCGUGGGGAGCAAACAGG